This 803-nucleotide long non-coding RNA is filed under the name Bemisia tabaci. RNAcentral's name for it is "lncRNA ENSSWEETPG010865". Lineage: Eukaryota; Metazoa; Arthropoda; Insecta; Hemiptera; Aleyrodidae. The record is from RNAcentral.
CAGCUGCAACUUAUUAGUCAUCUCAUUUAAUUUUUUCCCCCCUUUUCCCAGAUCUUUCACUUUCAUCUGUUCUGACAAGUGAAAAAUCAACAUAAAAUUUCAAGAAUAUGAUUUCAUUGCCAGUAUCAUAGCUCAUUUCAUGAAAUAGAAUUGAAGAGAUGUUCUCUUCGAUUAUUGCGGAAUACUUUACUCUCUUUAAUUUCAUUUUUGUUUUCAUUUUUCAUUUUCGUUUUCUCAAGGGUUGCAAAGCACUUCUUGACGAUGUUGAAGAGUCGAGUAAUCAAAACGAUUUGGAUAAUCUUCAAAAGAGGCUGGAUACAGUCCUUGAAAAAAUCAGAGAUCUGGACAAAAAUGUUCUCAACAUAAUGGGCAAUUUGGAAAAGGUUAGGCACACAACGGAAAGUAACAAAGAGAUAGCAUCGAGGCUGGAUGAAGUUUCAAAUGAAAUCGUCUCCAUCGAAAGCGAUACUGAUGAGACUUUGAAUACAACUCUACAACAAAUGGAUUUGAUUGAAAAUCGUUUUGAGGAAUUUCAAUCAAACGUUGAGGAAUUGAAAGAUGUUGGAGAGUAUCUGAAGAAUCUUACAGACAAGCAUCGGAGAAAGAAGCCAGUCUGUCAAAUCUGAAUCCACUUUACAAAGAGGUCUACGUUAUUCCCGCCCAAAAACACGCAGAUGGUUUACUAGAAUCAGCUCGCAGUUAUGAUGAGUAAGUUUCUAGGUCUCUCUGCUCUGAUGAAUUUUCAUCCUCUGGUACAAACUCAUUAUUCGUAUAAAUAUUUAUUACAGAUUUUUGCAAAGGUA